This 254-nucleotide ribosomal RNA is filed under the name uncultured bacterium. RNAcentral describes it as "partial 16S ribosomal RNA". It matches the Rfam family "Bacterial small subunit ribosomal RNA", at positions 524 to 776 of the family's 1533-position model. The record is from RNAcentral.
GACGUAGGGUGCAAGCGUUGUCCGGAUUUACUGGGCGUAAAGCGCGCGUAGGCGGCCUGUUAAGUGUGAAGUGAAAUUUCCAGCGCUCAACGCGGAAACUGCUUCGCAUACUGGCAGGCUUGAGGGAUGCAGAGGUAAGUGGAAUUCCUGGUGUAGCGGUGACAUGCAUUGAUAUCAGGAGGAACACCCAUGGCGAAGGCAGCUUACUGGGCAUCAUCUGACGCUGAGGCGCGAAAGCGUGGGGAGCAAACAGG